CCUGUCUGGGCCCUCUCCUUCCCCACAGUGCCGUGGAGGCCAGGGAGGGAGAGAGAAACUAUAUCUGCCUUGCUUGGAGGGAGGCCCUUCCCUGGCCUCCAAGGAAAAAGAAAACCUGGCUGGCUCAGACCCCCCAGAAUCCGCUGAAGCUGGCUCCAGGGACAACACAGAUGCAGCAAGUGCUCCUGGAAGCUCAAAUUGCAAAUGUUGACAGGAAAUUUUCAAGGAAGCAAGCAUGCUGCUCCAGACAGUAGGCCUCUACAAGAUACCCUUGAAUAGCAGCAGGGCUAGGAGAAUGAAAGGCAGCAUAAAGAAAAUGAAUUUCCUCUUAAAGAAAUGAAAGCAACCUUUUGAAAUUACAACCCUGGUUGUGUGAUGUUGCAUUUGAGAGUUGUAGUCUCAGUUUGCAACCUAGGAUUUGCUUAUCCUUGGCGCACAAGAAUUGCAAUAAUCUGAUACGGUACAGUUUUAAAAAAUCAUUUGGAGAAGUAAAUACCUGAACAUCUUGUCUUAAACAUUUUAUUCAUCAUGCUAAAAUAAAACAUCCUGUAAUCUA
Molecule: long non-coding RNA, 556 nt
Organism: Elgaria multicarinata webbii
Lineage: Eukaryota; Metazoa; Chordata; Lepidosauria; Squamata; Anguidae
Exons: 3
Source: RefSeq, a predicted model, not a curated record